This 497-nucleotide ribosomal RNA is filed under the name uncultured bacterium. Its description in RNAcentral is "partial 16S ribosomal RNA". It matches the Rfam family "Bacterial small subunit ribosomal RNA", at positions 28 to 507 of the family's 1533-position model. The record is from RNAcentral.
GAUGAACGCUGGCGGCGUGCCUAAUACAUGCAAGUCGAGCGAACAGAUAAGGAGCUUGCUCCUUUGACGUUAGCGGCGGACGGGUGAGUAACACGUGGGUAACCUACCUAUAAGACUGGGAUAACUUCGGGAAACCGGAGCUAAUACCGGAUAAUAUUCCGAACCGCAUGGUUCGAUAGUGAAAGAUGGUUUUGCUAUCACUUGUAGAUGGACCCGCGCCGUAUUAGCUAGUUGGUAAGGUAACGGCUUACCAAGGCGACGAUACGUAGCCGACCUGAGAGGGUGAUCGGCCACACUGGAACUGAGACACGGUCCAGACUCCUACGGGAGGCAGCAGUAGGGAAUCUGCCGCAAUGGGCGAAAGCCUGACGGAGCAACGCCGCGUGAGUGAUGAAGGUCUUCGGAUCGUAAAACUCUGUUAUUAGGGAAGAACAUACGUGUAAGUAACUGUGCACGUCUUGACGGUACCUAAUCAGAAAGCCACGGCUAACUACGUG